RNAcentral lists this ribosomal RNA (275 nucleotides) under uncultured bacterium. RNAcentral's name for it is "partial 16S ribosomal RNA". It matches the Rfam family "Bacterial small subunit ribosomal RNA", at positions 523 to 796 of the family's 1533-position model. The record is from RNAcentral.
AUACGGAGGGUGCAAGCGUUGUUCGGAUUUACUGGGCGUAAAGGGCGUGUAGGCGGAUAUGUAAGCUGGAGGUGAAAGCCCCGGGCUCAACCCGGGAACUGCUUUGUAGAACUGCAUAUCUAGAGAAAGUCAGAGGCAGGUGGAAUUCCUGGUGUAGAGGUGAAAUUCGUAGAUAUUAGGAAGAACACCAGUGGCGAAGGCGGCUUACUGGCUCGAUACUGACGCUGAGGCGCGAAAGCGUGGGGAGCAAACAGGAUUAGAAACCCUAGUAGUCC